Molecule: small nuclear RNA, 104 nt
Organism: Colobus angolensis palliatus
Lineage: Eukaryota; Metazoa; Chordata; Mammalia; Primates; Cercopithecidae
Source: Ensembl
GUGCUCGCUUCAGCAGCACAUAUACUAAAAUUGGAGCCGCACAGAGAUUAGCAUGGUCCCUGUGCAAGGAGGACACACAAAUUUAUGAAAUGUUCUAUAAUUUU